RNAcentral lists this long non-coding RNA (1184 nucleotides) under Anas platyrhynchos platyrhynchos (common mallard). RNAcentral's name for it is "lncRNA (ENSAPLG00000028381.1)". The record is from RNAcentral. Lineage: Eukaryota; Metazoa; Chordata; Aves; Anseriformes; Anatidae.
AUGUUGUUUGGUUCAUGUCUGAAGUUUUACAUUAGACUACCAAAGUCAGGCUAUUUUAAUAUGAAUGUACGCAAACCAGUCAUCUUAAAAAAUAUCUAUAAUAAUCCUAGAAGCCCCACAAGCAGCAAUUCUGUGUUCCUCAUCCUUCCUAGCUACAGGAGCCUGUCUGUCAUUACAAGAAAAAAAAAAAAAAAAAAAAAAAAAAAAAAAAAAAAAAGAUUUCCUGCUGUCCAGAAAGGUGGACAUUUGAAUGUCCAGAAAUUCCUUUAUUAAGUUAAUUGUAUUGAGUGCACCCAUCCUGUCCACAGAUCCAUUGCUUAGUAGUUAUGACAGGUCAAAAGCAAAAUCUAUUAUUAGCCAAUUUACUGAAAUGGAGUUUUUCAUUUUCAGAAUCACUAGCCACUGUCUUGAGGGUACCAGAUCCUAAUUAAAACACAAAGACCUAAUCUUAAUUUAAACUUCAAAAUAGUGAUACACAUGAAGGGUUAAAGAGGAGAAUCUUGGAAUAUGCUAUAAUUAAAGAAAAUCUCACUAAAAAGGUUUAUUUCUUCAAAGCUGUUUCCUUAUUUCAAGAUAAUAUAAAGCAGAAGCUUCCCUGCUGGAUCUAUGUAAAAUUCUCUGUGCCACGGUGCCAACUGGUGGCCAAGCACUAAAGCAGAAUUAACCAAUUAGUAAAGUUUCCCAUCUGGAACAGCCUGGACUUACUGCGUAUCCCCACAUUGCAUUACCAUGAUGGAAACUUCUAACUGACAUCUUUAACAAGAAAACAUCCCUCACUCUGAAACAUCUUUCUUUUCAUCUUUUCUACACACAAAACCAAACAUGGUCACUUCAGAGAGAGACAGAGCAUUCAGAGUUGGCCCAUUCUCACCAUGAAAGGUGUUUUUUUUUUUUGUUUUUUUUUUUUGUUGUUGUUGUUGUUGUUUUUUAUUUUUUUAUGCAGACUUCCCUAGGUCAGUUCACAGAUUCUUCAGCUAUGAGCAGAGAUAAAAUACAGACAUGUAUCCCUUUAAGAAGCACAGUGGGUCUGGGCAAAUAAUUUUAAAUUACUGAAGAAAAACAAACAAACAAACAUAAAUACAUCUGAUGUCAUAUAGCCAAGAUUUCUCUUAUUAUUUAUAGAAAGAAACUAGAAGAUUCUAGUCUAACAACUCUGGACAAUAAACUUUUCUUCUUGGAAGACA